Molecule: ribosomal RNA, 253 nt
Filed under: uncultured Fervidicoccus sp.
Lineage: Archaea; Thermoproteati; Thermoproteota; Thermoprotei; Fervidicoccales; Fervidicoccaceae
Description: partial 16S ribosomal RNA
Rfam family: Archaeal small subunit ribosomal RNA
Source: RNAcentral
UACCAGCACCCCGAGUGGUCGGGACGAUUAUUGGGCCUAAAGCAUCCGUAGCCGGUUCUGCAAGUCCUCCGUUAAAUCCACCUGCUCAACAGAUGGGCUGCGGAGGAUACCGCAGAGCUAGGAGGCGGGAGAGGCAAACGGUACUCGGUGGGUAGGGGUAAAAUCCAUUGAUCCACUGAAGACCACCAGUGGCGAAGGCGGUUUGCCAGAACGCGCUCGACGGUGAGGGAUGAAAGCUGGGGGAGCAAACCGG